AUGAAAGCCUCCCAGCACCAGCUAUCCGAGGCCUGCUGCAACAAGCAAGAUCAUUAACUUUCAAGACUUCUCUUGCUGGUUCAGCUGAUGAAACAAUAACGACCGGUAUGCGACCAAGCUGAAGGUGCAAGACUGGACCAUAUUUCCGAGAAAGUUGGCAGAGAGAGCUAUGUGGCAGUGCACCAAGUUGGUGCAAGUUGCCUAAAAUUGGAAGCUUGGGGGGACUCGGUGGAAGCCGGUUGAGUUCUUUCUUAACUUGAGUCCUCUUUCUGAAGAGUAGCAACAGGGCAAGAAGGAGAAAAGGAAGCCAAAAAAGUGGAGUAAGAAAACCCAUCACAGCUUUAGUUUUUGGCAAAGGCGUCUUGAGCUUCCUCGAACUCUCUUUUACUCCGUAAAAGGCUACUAUGUAUCUAUUUAUGAAUCAUCAACAUCCGUCUGGAAGGUAUCAAUAAUACAAGAAUUAACCAUUAGCACUACUCUUCUGACACUAGUUUUUUUCCGCACCGUCAAUUAUUGAUCAAUGUAAUAAUAAAGAUAGGAAUGGAGUGAGUAUAGACACAUAAAUACAUUUUUUAAAAUUCUUAAUCUAUAUCAUAUUGUAUUUACUAACUCUUUUGAAAAAUAUAUUAUAUGUAUAAAUUUUUUUGAAUUUGUAAUUUAUGAAGUUUGACUAUAUAUCAUGCAUACCAUUAAACUAAGAUUCUAUUUGUUUUGCAAAAAAUAAUUUUUGUAUUUUUAAGUAUUUAUUUGGCAAAAAACUAAUUGAUCAACAAAAAAUAAUUUUGACUCCAUUUGAAUAGAUAGUGAAAUUGAUUACAGUGAGAUUAAAAACAGUAAUAAAAAUUAAAGUAACUACGAUUAAAAAAAAGUUACUGUAGUUGUGAUUGAAAAAAAUUUAAUGAUAAAUUUAUACUGAAUAUAUCUCACUAAAGUUAGUAUUUAGAUUUAACUAGUAGUGUGGUGAAUUCAAUCGCACCGCACCAGAAAUACAAUUGAAUCCAAACGGACACUUAGUGGUCAAUGAAAAAUGACAAUUUUUUUGAAAAUUGUCUCUCUUUUCAAAAAGGAAAAUAAUUUAUUGAAAAGAGUUGGCUAUAAAUAUAGCUAUUUAUCAAUGUGCAUGAGUAUAAUUUUACUCAAGUUAGACCUUAUAGAUGAUUUUUUAAACUCAAACUUAAUUUGACCUUACUCAAAAUAUUAUUAUAUUAAUAAAUUAGAUUUUUAUUUAAUUUUAAAAAAUUAAAAUAUUAAUAUUAAAAGUCUUUUAAUAUUUUAAUUUUAAAUAAUUCAUAAUUCUACUCAAGUAAGAUUUUAAACAUAAUAUUUUAAACUCAAACUUAAUUUGAUUUGACUUCAAAUAUUAUUAUAUUAACAAAAAUAUUUUAUUUAAUUUUAAUUAAAUUAAAAAUUAGCUUUAUUUAAUCUUGUAUAUUAUUAAAUAUAAAUAUUUUUAAUAUUUCAAUAAUAAAUAGUAUUUUAUUAUUUUAAUAAUAAAUAAUAACAUAUAUAAUAUUUUAUUAUUUUGAUAAUUAAUAUUAAAUAAUAUAAUAUUAUUAUUUUCUUAAUAUGAAUUUUUAAUAAUUUCUUAUUAUUUUAAGUUAAAAAAUAUAAAUAAUUUUUUGUUAUUUAUUUAUUAAGGUAUUUAUAUUAAUAUUUUAAUAAUAAAUAUAAAUAAUUUUUUUUAUGAUUUAAUAAUUGAUACUUUCAAUAUAAAAUAUAAAUAUUUUAAUAGAAUAAAUAUUUUAAUAAUAAAUGUUACUAUUUUAAUAUUAAUAAAAAUAAUAAUUUAAGAACAGUAAUACUAUUUUAAAUAUUUUAAAAUAUUAAUAUAAAAAUAAUAAAUAGUUUUAUUUUAAGUAUUUUUAUAUUAAUAUAAUAUUUUAAUAUUACAUAUAAUUAAAAUAUAAUUAUUCUUGAAUAUUAAUCAUUUUAAUAAUAAAUAAUUUCAAUAUACUUAAAUAAUAAAUAAUUUUUAAUAUUUUAAUAAUUAUAUUAAUAUCAUUUAAAAAAAGAAUCAUAUUUUUCAGAAAACAACCAAAAAAUAAAAAAUAAUUUUCAUUAAUUCAUCCAAAUAACAUAAAUUUUUUAUUUUUUCAAAAAAAUAAAUAUUUUUUAAAAAAUAUUUUAUAAAAAUCAAAUUUUACGAAACAAACGGAACCUAAUACUCAAUUGAUCACAAAUAAUUUAGUACAUUAUAAAGUUUAGAAGACAAAUAUAUUUAUCUAGAUGGGAAAUUUCCCAAAAUUAAUGCUGGAAGUUUCAAAAUAUCUGCUUUUCCUUCUUCUGGCACUCGUUAUUAUUGAAAAGAUUAAGCAAAGGCUAUUAAUUUGUCAAUCAUGCAUUUCGUAUUCUUGGCAAAAGUAUCAAAUUUGCUAAGUCUAAGUUGGUAUCCAAAACGAUAACGGGCAAUGGAUUUGUAAGGUCUGAAUAUUGUUUGAUGAAAAUUGGAGUCAUUUAGCUUGGAUUGUUUUCCUAUAAAAGAAGGCAUUUAAUUUGCCUUGCCCAUCCCGCAACUCUAUUUAUAGAUAAGAAAAUGACGUAACUUUCAUCUCAUUCUCUCUCUCUCUCUGUUUUUUUUGGUUGAAAUUUCUAAUAUAUGAAUAUUUAAAUUAUGUGCGGGCCACCUUUUUUUUUUUUCCUAAGAAUGAGGAUUAACUAAAAAAAUUUUAUGUUUAUAGUUUUGGAAUAAAAUAUAGAAAAAAGUAAUUUCUAAUGCAAUCUUUUAAGAGGCCCAAUCAAACAAAUGCAAUUUUAACACGCUUUCAAAUGGAUUCUUUGUCGAUGAUUGCAGCAUUUUGCGUUAGGUUAAAGUUCCUAAUCAAUUAUCUAAACAAGCAAAAGUAUAAUGAAUAAUUAGAGUAAUUAAUUAUACGUGCAAGAGAUAAGGAUAUUAGUUGUACAAAAAUUUAAUCUGACUUGACUUUAAUAUAAACCAUUUUCAAGCGGUGCAUAGUUUAUUUGGCAAUACAGAAACCGUCCAGCAAAGGCAGCAUGUGGGUGUGGCAGAUAUAAAUGGAAAUGAGGUGAAGUUUUUUUUAACUAGGACGAAAUUGAAGAAUGCGGCAAGCAGCUUUCUCAUUUGAUUGGCAUUGCACAAAUGUAUGCAGAAAAAGGCAAAAAUUAGGUGUCAUUUAGUGCAGAAAAACGGAGAGAAAGAAAGAAGUAGCUGUGGAAAUGAACAAUCUGGGGAAAAUAAAGAAAGACUGACGUUUGCUCUACGAUUGCUAGCCUGUGACGUUAUCCUUUCUCUUUUUAAAAUUCAAUCCGGAUGAAAGCUAGACUGUCAUGGCUCAGAAUUCCUAGAAAAAUACAGCCCAAACUGAGUUUUCACUUUGUUUAAUAUUGCAGCUUACUUAUUUAACACUUUACGCAUGAGAAAUCCAUAUUUUGAGAAAAGCAAGAGCAGUUUCCAAUUUUUACUGAUGACAUGUUUUGCGUAGGAAAAGGAUUUUCGUUUCAUUUCCUCGAAAGUUAAUUAAAUGAAGGACUAGGGACGGUAAAUUAACCUGAAACCGUCGGGUUCCGACCCGAUCAUUCAGAAUCGGAUUUUUAUUUUUAAAAAAUGAAUUUCGGGUCAAGAUCAUUUUUAUUUUUUUGAAUGUCGAAUUUGGGUUGGAAUCCGGUUUUACGUAAACUUACCCCGAAAUAUUUAUCAAAAUAUCAUUUAUAUAUAUAUAUAUAUAAUUUUUUUUUAGGAUUUCUCUUUUUUUUUCAGCCUCCUUGACUAACUCCCCCGAUCUCCUUUUUUUCGGCCUCCUUGUCUAACUCUCCUGCAUUUGGGAUUUUGCUACUGAUAAAGCUGGGAGAGAGUGCUGCUUUUGAUUGUAACUGUCUUGGCACCUCCAACCUCUGUAGUAUCCUUGUAGCAUUUUCUAUCUAGCUGCCUGCUGUUGUCUAGUGGGGAUAGAAGUAGAACUGAUUGAUCUGACUUGGGUUUGGGUGUACAAGUGGGAGAAUAUUUCACGGGAAUUUCACUGACAACCAGUCGCUCCCAUUCUUCAGCAAUAGAAGCUGUGGUUUUGUCUUCUCCAGCUGUCUGAAUCCCUAUCCGGGUGAGCGGAGUUUAGCAUUUUGCUUUGGCCGUUAAUAAGAAUAUUUCUUCAGUCAGUCAUAUCUUUUGCAAUCGCCCAUGUUCUUUCUUUAAUCUCGCCUUUCUUUUGUCCCAUCUCGAUCGAUUCAUAACAUCUCCGGAUCACAAAGAGAUGCUGCUCUUUUAUUAUACAAUUCACUUGUAACCAGACAUUUUGGACAUGCUCCAGGGCCAGGCUGAUUUUUUAAUCUACUUGAUGAAUGGUUUGAAAUUCGGAUCGGGUCGGGUUGAAUUGAAGUAAAUAAUAUUCUUAACGGGUUGGAAUUGGGUUUUACCAUUAGAACUUUUGAGCGGGGAUGAGUCGGGUAUUAAAUAAAAGUAUUAAGAUUUCGAGUCGGAGGCGGAAAAAGCAAAAAUCCGACCUACCCGUCACAAUGCCAACUCUAUGAAGGAUUGAGUUGAAAAUGAAAAAAAAUACAAAAGAAAAAGGGAUGAAAAUUGGAACAGGGUCUCUCCACAAUUGUGAGGUCUAUGCCUCCAUGGUUUUUGUCAAGCAUUAUUACACAAGUUUGGUGUGAGGGACUUAAGAAAGUGUUUUGAAUUUUAUUUCGAUUAUGUAUUAAAAUUAAUCAUAAAAUAUAAAGAUUCACAUAUUUUCUUUUUUAUGAAAAUUUUUUUUCAUUGCACUACUAAAUAAAGCUUAAGUUUGGAUUAAUAAUGUAAAUGAUACAUCAAUUCUCAUAAAUUAUUUAAAUUUAAUUUGAUUAUUAUCGAAUUAAGUUUAAGUUCGAACAAUUUAAUUUAUUAAGUAAGUUGAGUUUAAGUAUCUUAAUAUCCGAUUCAAAUAAUUUAUGAACUUAAUCAAGUUUUUAGAUUUUAAUAUAUUUUUCAUUAUUUUAAUUAAAAAUUAUUAUUUUAUUCUUAUAUAUAUAUAUAUAUCAAUUCAAUUUUGAAUUCAAGUAACUUAAUUUUUAUCUCGAGUUGAGUUUAAAUUUAAAAUUUAAAAUUUGAUCAAACUCGAUCCAAGUUUUGAAUAAUAAAUUUUGAGUAAAACUUAAAUUUGAAUUUCACUGUAUUGAUUCAAUUUAAUUUGAUCAUACACUAGUUUAGACCCAUCUAUGAGCUCAUAUUUUAUUAAUUAAUAACAAAUUAAAAAAACUUUAUAUUGACAUUUUAACACUUUUGACAUAUCAAAAUGAAUUUGGAUUUAUAAAUAGUAUUUAUUAAUUUAUUUAAUACUAACAUAAUACAUAAUAAUUUUGGGCCGAACUUGAUUCGGGCUUAAAACUUUAAAGCCCUACUCUAAUUCAAAAUAGGCCGGACUUAUGGGUGUAGAUGCAAAGUCAAAUCCUUGAAUCAUUUUUCAUUUUCCAUUUUAUUGUCUCAAAAUUCUUAUUAGGUGAAGGUUCACUUUCUUUUGCCUUUUUUUUCCUACUCUCAUAGUGUUGCAAAUCUUUUGUUAUAUUGUUUUCAUGGUUGAUUUUUUUUGUCCAGCCGGCAUGUGACUGGAUUGGCCAGAGCGUGCUACCUCUAGCGAAAGCAUUGAAGCUGUUACGCAGUUGCAUGCUGUAAUCAGAAAUGCUUGUGAUAAUUAUUAUGAACCUGUAUGCAUGCUAUCAUCAUUCUGAUUCAUUAUUUUCUUCUGCCAGAAUCUAGUGAUGCCGCAUGUAGACCACUCUGCAGAGGUUCUGAUUGACCUUUUGCAAGCUCUUCUAGAUUUGAUCCUUGGAGUCGAUUAACUGCUCGUUAAGCUCUCAGGCAUCCCUUUUUCACCGAAGAUCAUUGCCAGGGAUUCUCAGUUAUUUCUUUUCUUUCUAUUUCAAUACUCUGGUUCUGAUAUUGCUUGCUCAAGUUUUACAUAUUGAUCCUGGCUUAGGCAUGAGGGGUUAGUGGUUGGUGAUGAAUUCUGUUUUGACUCUUUUAAUAUGAAAGGCCGACCAGGAUUCUGGGGUUUCUGUAGUUUAUUUUAUUUUAUUUUUUGUAAAUUAGCUAUUGUUUUUUCUCCUCUGAUUCCUUUAUCCUGGAAAUGUGAUGUAGAAGUUUUUCUCAAUGAAUUAGAAGGUUUGCACUUACUAAUCUAUUGGCUUUGGUCCACGAAUCAGAAUUCAGAAGGCUGUCCUGUCUUAAUUCUACAGAGAUGGACAAUGGAAUUCAAAAAGAAAUGUGGAUGAGUAAGAAAAAGAGCUGGAGCUAUGGUGAUGAUUUCUUCUUACACUUGCAAAAUCAGUUUUGACAGAUAUCAAAUGGUUUCUUCAAAGUGGUUUUAUUUCAAGAAAGAGCAAAAUUAAUUUCUGAUGUUAUUAUAAUGAGUAUUGAAUCUCUAGUAAAAUAGAACAAAUAAUUACAAUGGAUUCCUUAUCAGUGUUUCGUAUUGCAUCUUUUAGCUCUCAAGACCCCAUUUGGAGGGCUGGACACCAUCAGGCUACAAUGACCGUGCAACCAAUACGAAUAUUUCAAGAAACCACCGAGAUUGUAUCGGGCUCGAAACUUCCCCUUGACUGUAAACAUGACUCGGUUGUUCUCAAUCUGCUUUUGUAGCAGCAGAGUUUCUUUCAAUGAAAGCCUAACCUGACUGGUUACCAUGUGAAUAUUUGCAAUCAUUGACAGACCUCUUGCCGCUGAGAAAGGUUCUAUGUAUUGGGUAGCAAUCAUACUAUUCUCAAAGUAAAGAUCAAGGUACAUGUAACUGAAAUCCACGCUCACCUUCAUGUUUGGAUUUGUGAAGUUCGCAAGCACACUAAGAUCAGCAUUGAGCAAGUAACGCAUGUCCAGAUAGGCUGCAUUCAAGCUGACGCUAUUGACAUCAAAAUGUGGACUGCGUGGUCGAAAGACGAGAUAGACUAUGAGAACGAUUAAGCCUCCUAUUAUUAUGACGAGCCAAAAAAUUAUACAGAAAGCUGCUGCAAACCAUGUUAGAGGUUUGGUUGGACGGUCUCGUGGGAGAAAAAGAUUAGUGCGUGGGCGUUGCUCAUGGGGAUGCUUGCCCUCGGGCUGUGGUGUUAUUACCCCUGGACUAGGCUGGUGUUCGGUGACUUCACCCAGUGGUCUUAUCAAUUGAGCGCUAGGAUGUUGGUCUUGAAGCUGUGGUGGCAUCUUCACUUUCUUGCCUGACCGGCCUUGACGUUUCUGUGUUUUGGGGGUUAGACCUUGAAUCGAUGAGGGUGGCGUCGACAUUUCAAGUGGCUGCCGCUGUUGACCUUGGCUAUUUUGUGGUUGUGAUUGAGGGCUUUGGUCUUCAUGAUGUACUGGGGGCACCCAUACAUGUAGUGGCGGGUAAGGUUGGCCUUCAUGAUGUGGUUCUGGAGGAGACGGACCAAGCGGCUGGGGACCUUCGUCCCCAUAAUGUCUUGGCUGAGGACGUUGGUCUUGAGGACGAUGUGAAGGGAUACGCUGGUCAGGACCACGUCGUGGCAACAAGGCAGCAGGUAGAUAAUGACGUUGAUCUGGUGUUUUUUCUUCAGGAUCGAUAAAAUGUGGGUUGGUUUCAACAUGCUGAUAAGCCAUUCUGUAUCGAAAAUAUGGCCAGAAAUGAAGUAGAGCAAAGGGAAAUAAGAGGAGUUGAUGAUGCUAGGUAAUAUGCGAAAGAGGAUGACUUCAAGGGAACUAAUGUAGGAGGAUUCUUGUAAAGGCAAAGAAUCAAACAUAAACUGAGUAUGGGAGGCAAGUAAUCUUUCGUUAUUCCUUUUCAAGGCAUCUGCAUAUUUUCUUUCUGGUUUUUCAAUAUCAAAAGCAGUUGUAAUUUAAAGCAAGCGAUCGUCUACUUGUGAAUUCUUACAAUUCUACUUGAAGCUCAGCAAAGUGACAUACAAUGAUAUACAAUGUCCAAGUUUAGAUGGUAGAAAUAGAUUUUUAGCAAAAUAAUUUUUUGGCGAAAGGAUAAAAAGGUCCUAAAACAAAAAUUUAAUAAUCAUUUAAGUCCUUUAACAUGUUAUUGAAAUCAAUCCAGCUUAAAUCUUUUAUUUCGAAUAAGUUGAAUCCAUAAAUAUUUAUUUUCACCCAAUUAAACCCCUAAACAUCUAUUUUUACUUAAUUAAGCCCUCAAUUGGAUAGAAACAAUUAAACAUUUUUCCUCUAAUAAGGGUUUAAUUGAUAAAAAUAGAGUUUUGAGGGUUUAAUUGGUUGAAAAAAAUGAUAAAGUCUUAAAUGAUUAUUGAAUUUUAGUUCAGGGACUUUUAUUAUUAUUUUUUUAAGCUUUUGCCUUUUUUUUUUUGCCUAGAGUAAAGUACUCUUGUUGUGACAUGGUGUCAUAAUUUGCAGUUGAUCCAAAAACUUGGAAGAUGCUCCAUUGGUUGAAAACAACAAGGAAAUGUUGCAAGUUAACAAUUAUAGAUAGUUGAUUUUAGUUACUAAUAUUUUAUUCUUUUAAACUUUUUUAAAGUUGUUAAAAUUGAGAAUAAGUUAGAAUAUGUGUUAAGACUGUUUCAGUGAAAAUUAUUUUACAGAACAUGUGAUAAAAUUAUUUCAAUGAAGGUUAUUUUAUGAAACAACUAUUCAAGGAAUAACUUCUUCAUAAAACAACUAUUCUUGAAACAACUUCCUCAAGGAACAAAGCAACACUUUUACUGAAAACUCUUGAAACACAAGUUACUACACUAAGAGUUAUUCCACAAAAAACACUUCACCGAAUGUUACUUCAUUUAAAGAAGAAGUGAAAAUAACCUAGGGAUAUGGCAUGGUUUUUAGGUUAAUUUCACUAUUGGGAUGUUCCAGAGAGUUUGGCUUGGUGGAUCAGAUAUAAAGAUAGUUAUGAGGUUUUCUCUUAACCUUUUCUUGAAAUAUUAGUGCUUUUUCUUUUCUUUCAAAAGAGAUAGUGAACUUCUAUGUUUACUAUACUUAUUAUUAAAAGCUAAUUAAACUCCUAUUAAUCAAUACAUUAAUACAUUUUCUAAUGGUCAAUUAUCUCAUUAUGCAUCAUUAUUCUUAUUCGAUACUCUAGUUAUGUAACUUAUAUUAUUGAAGAACUAUAAAUAGGAGUUUCCAAAGUUCAUUAAGGGGCUUUUUGAGACUUUGGCCAAACUUACUCAAUUUUUUUUGUAAUUCUCUCUUCCUAAAUCUUUUUCUCAAUCUCAUUCUCUUAUUUACUCAGCCUUACUUCACCACCUACCACCACCUGCCACUGCAUUCAAUAUUUCAAGAUCUGCUCCAAUCUUCUUUUUUAUCAUUUCCUGGUACAUCUUAUUUUACUUGUUUGCAAUGUUUCCUCACUUCAACAAAAAACCUGUUAAUAUUUUGGUGACUCCACUAAGGAUGAGUGAUUGCAUUAAACAAAACAAUUUCUAAUUUUACUUUGCAGAAAAAAAUAGAGGAUUCUAUUGGAAACCAAAAUGUUCAGACCCCUGCCUACAUCCAAAAAUUGAUGAAAAUGAUUUAAAAUUCCUAAAAGAAGUUGCAAAAGUUAGAAGAGACUAUCUCCCAACUCAUAUCUUCCAAUGCCACAACCUCUUAAGCCUAAACUACUACUAAUGGGAAUAGAAAUACUUCUAUCUUUCUAGCGAAUGGCACUGAAGAAAACAUUACAAAUAAGCCAAAUCUUGGUGUUAAUGAAAAUCUUAGUGUAAACAACACCUUAGUUGUUGGUACUCCAACUAUGAUUUUUCCUCCAACCACAACUCAGGGUUUUAUCACGAAAGAAUAACUUCAGAAGUUGCUUGAGGAAAAGAACAAAAGAUUGAACUUUUUUGAAUUUGAUUUUAAAAUACCAUAUUUUGCUAGAAUGGUUGUUAAACCAUAUCCCAAGGACUAUACUAGUCCUAAGUUUAAGCAAUUCAAUGGCAAGACUGAAGAUACUCAUGAGCAUGUAAUAAAAUUUAUAAAAACUCUUGGAGUAACUGGAUUGGAUGAUAAUUUGAAGUUGAAGGAUUCUCUAAGUCUUUUAUAGAAAAAGCUUACACUUGGCUCUAUUGAAUCAUGGAAUCAGAUGUGUAGAAUGUUUAGAGAAAAGUUUUUCUUUACCUAAGAAAAAGUUACUUUGAUUGACUUGGAAAAAGAACACCAAAAGUCACGGGAAGUUCUUAUAGAAUACAUCCAAUGCUUCAAGGAAAGAGUGUUGGACAUUCAAGAUUCUCAUGAUAAGAAAAAACUGGUAAAAGUAUGUAUACAAGAAAUGUUUGAUGAGUACAUAGUGUAUUUGGAGAAUUUAUCUUUUUCAACCUUCGUUAUUAUAGUUGAAGUUGCAAGAAGAACCAAUAAUACAACUUUUAAGCAAUGAGGAGCCAAUCAUUUCAUUAGGAGGAAUGCUUUUACAAUGAAUACAAUUUAAGGAAGAGCAAGAAAAAAAAGAGGACCUUUUCAUCCUAAUAUGUGUCCUAAAAGAGAUAAUCAAAAAAUAAGACAAGAUGAUGAUACUAACUCUCCACUAUUUUCAGUUCUAAUGGAUAGAGUGAAAGCACUAUUUCAAGAAUGGAUUAAAAAUGAAAAUGUGAAUCUACCUUAUGUUUCACAACCACCAAUAGCAAAAGAAAAGUCUAACCUAAGGUAUUAUGACUAUCAUCGAACGGUUAGUCAUUCACUUGCUGAAAGUAAAAAUCUUCAUAGAAUAUUCCAUCGAAAGAUACAAACAAUAAAAAUGUUUAUUAGAAUCAAUGAAAUUCAAAAUAAUCCAUUUCUAACUCAUCAUAAUCCUCAAGGGCAUGUGAAUGCAACUAUUCAUGCUAACUAUAAUGAUCUUUCUUUUUUUUAGCGAAUAUGAUAUAUUAGUUAUUCAAUCGAAGUUAUCAAGUCUCAAGCACUUUCAGAUUUGUUAACAUAUUUUCAAUCUUAGUAAUAAGAAAAAGGUGUUGGAAUAGUUCUGAUCCCAUCGAGUAAAAAACUAGAUUCUUUAAAAGAAAGUAUUGAGUUAAACUCCUCUUAUUUGGGUAGAAGAGACAUUUCAUUGAAAGAAAAGGUAAAAAGAAAAGGAUGCUCCUUGAUUCGGGUUUAAAGUUAAACUCCCUAAAAUCAGGUAGAGAACCUAUCUCUUUAUCUUAAACUGUGUUGAAAACUUUGUUUAAUUAUACUAGAAAUUAAUCUUUAAAAUCAAAUUGAGAUAUAAAGUUGAUAUGGCUGCUGUGUUGAAUCCAAUUUUAUUGGCUGCAAUUUAACACUUUCUGCUUUGAAUCAAAUUAAUUUCUUUGGUACUAAGUUAAGAAAAAUUAUCUGGUUAAUACAUAAUGGAGUUUGAUCUAUUUCUUUCUAGGUUUAGAAUUCACCUUUCUAGUGUAAAAUUGAGAAUCACUCAUUGGCCGCAGCUUUAUCACUAAUUUGUUUUACCACUAUUCUAUUUGUAGACACCAUUUUGUUUGGAAUAACCCGAUCGUGAUUGAUUUUGGAGUUUGGGCACGAAUUAGAUCGAUUUAAAAAUUAGGACUAAAUUCAUUUACAAUCUCGAAAAUAUUUCGUGUAGGUUUAAGAUUGGUCCAAUUUCAUUAUCAGGUUAAUUGUUGAGGCCUAAAUUUCAUAUUAAAGCCUGAAUUUCAUGUUAAAGCCAGAGUUUUGUAUUAAAGCCCAAAAUUUAUCCAAAUUCUGCCUCAAAUCCCAUAUUCAAUUUUGAUUAAUUUGGGACCAAAUUAAAACAAAUACAAUAAUUAAAAAAAAAAAUACAAUUAAACAAUUAAGAGAUUAACUAAGGUUAAGAGUUUUAAAAAAAUGUGUAUUUAAGGGGCGGCUACCAUGAUAGUAGCCUACCCUUACUUUUCGCCACCCCUAGAUCACAAUUUCACUCUCCCUAAAUUACCUCAUCAAUUUCAACUCUCAAAGUUUACCUAUUUGAUUUUACCUAAAUUAUCUAUAACACCAAUUGGUAAAUGAACAAUGCUCUAAAAUGCAGUGAACCAGUGCUGUGAAAAUAAUCCAAGAUUACUAACUACUCUUUUAAGAGGAAUUAAUUCCAAAAUAGAGGCAUAGGAGAGAGGGGAAAAGAUUUGGGAUUUUCAAUAAAAUCCUAAAUGAAUUUAUACUGAGAAGAGGACACCAAUUUUGAAAAGGGGGGAACAUUAGUGGCAAACCAAAAAAAAAACCCAAAAACUAAACACAGAUACCCAAUAUCCACUAAAAGCCAAAUUCAACUAAAAAACCUACCAUUGCCAACACUAGUUUCAACCCCAGCUUCAACCUUAGCACUCGCCCAACUAGUACAGUCCGUAGCCUCCAGUACCUAGCCUUCAUACCCUAACACCAUAGCCACACCAACCCCUAGCUCACCUAGCCUUAGCCCUAAUACCAACCCCCAAGCCUAAGUGCCAUAUUUGCUCCCUCACUAGCACCACACCUGUGCACACCUACACAAGCACCGAUACCAGCCUCUAACUCUGACCUCUGCUAACCACCCUUGCCCAUACCGAUCCCUUCACAGACCCUUGACCUUUAUGCACCCUCAUCAUUCCUCGUACUCAAACAUCUCGUCCCUAGCCCUACAUUAUCCACCACGCCCUAGUGCCACACCCACGCCCUCACCUAACACUUGCGUCACAACCACUCUCACCUAACGUCAUAGCCACACUAAACACCCAUACUCACCAACACUAUCCUUUAAACCCUUCAACACUGUCCCAAAAGCACCAACUGACAUAAAAAAAACAUUAACUGUAUGAGAAUCACAAAAUCUACCCAAAAAAAAAAACCAAAAAAAAAAUCAAAACAAGAAUCAUUGCCCUUGGAGCAAGGAUCUAAUGCCAAAAAGACUAAACAAAAAAAAAUAAACAAAAAAAAGAACUCUUUUUUGCUGAAUACUUUGGAGGUCAAUCUAGAAGGUUAAAGGGAUUUUUUUGGUGAAAAAAGGGUCAGAAUGGAGUAAAAGGGGAAGAAAAAAAGUUUUUUGGCAUCAACAACGGUGGUUGACAACGACAGUAAUGGCAGCCUGUGCGACAGCAUGGUGCCAGACUUCAAGCUUGGUAAGAGGCUUUAUUUGUCUCUGAAGUGUUUUUUUUUUUUUUUAAUGAGCAAGGGUUAAAAUGUUAACAAAAAAAGUUAUUUUUAUAGCAAAAAAGUUAUUUUUAUAGCAAAAAAAAAAAAAACCAAAAUGAUGUCGUUUUAUACGUGACUCAUGACCCAACCUAGGGUCCAGGCCAACGAACCCGAUGACCCGUUUCUCCCUAGCCUUCAACCAAUCUACCUAAAUCGGAGUUGAACCGUCAAACCGCUACAAGCUGCCACGAACUGCUUGAACUGCGCUAAAUCGACCUAAAUCAUCCGUGGACCGUUGAUCGAUUAAUUUUGUAUAAUUUUUUUGUUUUUAUCUUUUUAAUUUUAAAUUAUUUAAGUUAGUUAUUAAUGCAUAUUCAUAUUUUAAAUACAUAUAAUAAAUGCAUAUAUUUUAAAAAAUAGGAAAAUUAAUCUUUAAAAAAUAAUAAAUUAAGAAAAAUGUGUAUGAAAAAAGUGUAAAAAAAUAAACAUAAAAAAUGACAAACAAGUAUAAAAAUAAUAAUAAAAUAAUACAAAUCUCCGAAAAUGAGAUAUUACGGAAGUCCGAGUAGUGAUUCUUUAAAAUCUUUAGGUGAGAAUUUUUUUUUUAAAUACUACCAAAGUAAUAGAGUAUUUAGAAAAGUAUUCAAUAUAAAGAAUUUUCAUUUAUUUAAUUCUCUUAAAAUAUAUAUGUUUUAAAAAUAAAUAAAUGAAUAAAAAAAAUAAAAAAGGUGCUGGAAAGUAAAAAUAACUCUUUUUUAGUAACAACAUUAAUAUAGUGACACAUAAAUUUUACUUGCGAUGAUUAAUCAUUUUUGUUUUAAAAAAAAAUUAAUAAAAUUAAAAAUAAUAAUGAUAUAAAGGAAGAAACAAAAUGAAAAUCUUCGAGUAUGAGAUUCUAAGAAAGUCUAAGUAAAGAUUCCUAAGAAACCCCUAGGUGAGAGAAUUUUUCUAAAAUGCCAUAAAAGUAUUAAAGUACCUAGAAAAUUUUCAAUAAAAAAAUUUUCCUUGCUUCGGUUCCUUAAAAAAAUAAUUAUAAUAAUAAAUAUACAUAAAAAUUUAUUAAUAAUGAUAAUGAAUCAAUUAGGCGAGUAAAACAAAAUAAGUAAUAAAGAAAAUAUAACAUAAGCAAAAAUAAAUAAGGUGACUAAAAAUUAUUGCACGCAUACCACAUGUUGUCAUCUGCAUUUCAUAUAAUAAUCUCGCAAGUAACAUUAAUUUUCAACAAUGAAAUAUUUGAAAAUUUUGAGUAGUAAUUCUCAAGAAAUUCUUGAGUGAGAAAAUUUUUUCAAACUAUCGCCCAAGUUUUGAGGUAUUUAGAACAAUUUUCAACCAAAAAAAAUUCUCAUUUACUUUUUCCUCAUGAAAACACUUUUAUACAAUACAAUAAUGAUUAAAAUAAAUCCAUGCGUAUCAUAUUCCACUUAUACACACCAAUUUUAAAAAUAAACGAAAUCUCUAAGGAUGAGAUCUUAAAAAAAUUUAAGAAGUGAUUCUUUAGGAAUCUUUAAUUGAGAAAAUUUAUUUAAAAUGUCACCAAUGUAUUGGAACAUUUAGUAUAAUUUUUAAUAAAGAUUUCUCUUCUAUUUUAAUAAAUAGAAUAAAAAUGAAUUUUUUUAUCGAAAUUAAAUUAUAGUUAUCAUAUUUUAUUACAUACAUUAUAAAUAUUGAUUUUUAAAUAUAAAUAUGAAUCAUCGAUGAUGGGAUUUUUUAGAAUUUCAAGUAGUAAUUUUUAAAAAAUCUUUAGGUGAGAAAGUUCUUUUUAAUAUUGCCAAAGUUUUAGAAUAUUUUUGAAAAUUUUUCAAUAAACAAGGUUCUUAUUUAUUUUUUCCAACCAAAAUAAAAAUAUGUUUUUUUUCACAAUAAAGGAAAUUAAAAAAAUUAAUUUUAAGUACCAAAAUUAAUACAUUUUGCCAAGAUUAAAAGAUAACACAUAAUUAAUUAGUAUCAUUUUUACAAGCUUUAUGGGGGUGCUAAUCUUUUCCCAUAUGUAAUCAAUUCUCGAGCCGCGAAUCCAAAAAUUAUUUUUUUAAUAAAUUUUAAUUAAUUAAAAAGAUAAGUUUUAAUAGAUGGCCAAUUACACCUAGCCAAAAAAGAUUGGUGAUGAUGCCAUAUGUUUUUUAAAAUUUAUCUAGCAGUACCUAAAAUCGUUAUGAUAGCUUCGCGACUCAAUUGGGGAUGUCAUUUUUUUAGAGAGUCAGGCUAAAAAUUUAAUCAUGUAUUAUCCUUAAUCUUGAUUUAAUGGUCUUAAUUGGUAUUUAAUCUUAAUUUUCUUAAUCUUGAUUUUUUUUCAAAUAGUAAAAAUAUUAAUAAUGAUAAUAAAAACUUGCAUCUCAUUUUAACCAUGUCAUUUGUUUUACCCUUUGUAUUUAUUAUUAUUUUUAUUAGGCACUUAGAAUUAGGAUUAUGAUACUAUGUUUCCUUAUUCACACAUGACACAUUCAUAUUAUUUAUGAGCUCUAUACUCGGGCUUUAGCCAUUUUAGGAGCCAGUAAAGUACGUAUGUUCUCAUAAGGUGAUAACCUUCGCAAUGGCAAAUAAAAUAUUCCUACUCAAAUUGAACCAUUUUCGUUUGUAGCCCAUAAUGGGUGAGGAUUGAAGUGUGUUACUAAUCUUUGUGGAUGCCAAUCAAGAACAAUUUGAGAACCUUUUAAAUUCGAAUAAAUCCAAGCUAAUCAUAUAGUAAGCCAUAGGGGCCAACCCUAGCUAGAGCCAUGUCUACCUUUUAUAGAUCAUCCUCGAGAACUGAGGCAAGCAAGAGAACACUUGUGUUGUAAUGCUUUUUCUAAAGGAAGUCAUAAAUGUGUGCAUUCAUAUUUAUUUUAUUUGUUAAAAGAAAUUUUGUAUCUCAUCCCUUUUUUUUUUCCUAAAAUAAAGAAGUGACCAUUUCCUUUUACCUUUUCUUUUCAAGCUUUUAUUAUUUCAU
Molecule: long non-coding RNA, 15833 nt
Filed under: Durio zibethinus
Lineage: Eukaryota; Viridiplantae; Streptophyta; Magnoliopsida; Malvales; Malvaceae
Description: long non-coding RNA (DZIB_LNC001656)
Source: RNAcentral